This is a long non-coding RNA of Etheostoma spectabile (orangethroat darter), 597 nucleotides long. RefSeq lists it as uncharacterized. The transcript is spliced from 3 exons. Lineage: Eukaryota; Metazoa; Chordata; Actinopteri; Perciformes; Percidae. The record is from RefSeq and is a predicted model, not a curated record.
GUUGAAACUGUCACUACACCCUGAGAGUAGUACGCCACUGAUGUGGCCUGCUCCCACUGCUGCUAAGCCUGGAGUUAUGACAAGGUAGCAGAGCCAGAGGAGCGGGAAGGCCUGCCAUUGACAAGGGGAGAAACAACAACUGAACGCGAUGACACUUCAAGUCAAGGAUCAAGUUAAAGGAGCGGUGUCAGCCGGCUAGCUAACCUGUGGAGGGUUAGCUAAUCAAUGGCGCAGUAAAGAAUAUUGGAUUUCACCUCCAAAAUCUCAAAAGGACCUAAAAUAUCAAGAGGAAAAAAGGAAGAGACAGUGCCUGGUUGCAGCACGAGCCUGUCUGUGACACCUCAAUCUGCUGGAGCAGCUGACAGUGGAGCCAGAGGAACAUCGGCUUUAGCUGACGUUAAACAGCAUCUGUAACGAUAUCGCCCGCCACUGCUGGUGGAUUUGAGAAGCCAUCUCGGCCAAAAUCCGUAAACAUUUAAAACGACCAUUUCAGCCAGGCUGGUUUUCGAAGUGGCAGUGGCUGCACUAUGUCUCGGAUGAAAACUUUAUUUCCCGGCAUCUUCAAUUAAAAGAUGGCCGAGCGGUCUAAGGCGCUGC